CUCUCCUCUUCAUGCAGCGGUCACCAAAGAGCACGUAGCCGCAGAAAGGGAAAGUGAAAGAGCAGAGCAACAUGCAAGAGUCAGGCCAGAGAAGAAGCUAUCAGUCUGUUCAAAACAUGGACGGCCAGGGACAGACAAAGGUGCCGGGGAGGAAAUUCCAUGUCUCCGUGGCAGGAUGUACCAACGGUGCUCAUCAGACCUAUGUUAAUGACCUCAAAGGGAUGGGUCAAAUCGAGGUGGUCUCUCCUGAACAAAGUGACUACUUGGUGCUUUUCUGUCCCAUCGCGUCUCGAGUUGGAAAAGACAUCGGAGAGGCAAUGGACAAAAUCCCAGGUGGGAAACCAAUCGUUCUGGUGGUGAUGCAUCACACCUACGACAAAGAUCAUUUUGUGCCUGAAAGCAGGAGACUCGUGGAAAACCCGGAUGUCAUCGUCACCGUAGACGUUCUGUUCCAUGAGAGCAAAAUGCUGAUCUGCAACCGCAAUGACACGGCCUGGUUUCAGGUCAAGGAUGUUCUUGGAGUUUCCCCUGCACAGGACAGCAGCUGGCUAUCUUGGACGUGUGUGCUGCAGAGGGUUGGACGUUGUUUUAUGUCGUUGUGUUCCUGGACACUUCAUCUCAUAUUGGCUACAGUAUUGAACAUCGGAGAGGCAAUGGACAAAAUCUCAGGUGGGAAACCAAUCGUUCUGGUGGUGAUGCAUCACACCUACGACAAAGAUCAUUUUGUGCCUGAAAGCAGGAGACUCGUGGAAAACCCGGAUGUCAUCGUCGCCGUAGACGUUCUGUUCCAUGAGAGCAACAUGCUGAUCUGCAACCGCAAUGACACGGCCUGGUUUCAGGUCAAGGAUGUUCUUGGAGUUUCCCCUGGACCGGUCUUCAGCUGGCUAUCUUACUGGAGGAAAUACCGAAAGAUGAUUAUUAUUACAGUAAUUGUUGUUGGAGGUGUCAUUGUGUCCGUGGAAGCGUCAGUGCACUAUCCACAGAAGUCAGCAGCUGUUGCAGUUGUUGCUGUUGCCAUCAGCCUAUAUUACAUCAGAGAGGCAAUGGACAAAAUCUCAGUGCCGGGGAAGAAAUUCCAUGUCUCCGUGGCAGGAUGUACCAACGGUGCUCAUGAGACCUAUGUUAAUGACCUCAAAGGGAUGGGUCAAAUCGAGGUGAUCUCUCCUGAACAAAGUGACUACUUGGUGCUUUUCUGUCCCAUCGCGUCUCGAGUUGGAACAGACAUCGGAGAGGCAAUGGACAAAAUCCCAGGUGGGAAACCAAUCGUUCUGGUGGUGAUGCAUCACACCUACGACAAAGAUCAUUUUGUGCCUGAAAGCAGGAGACUCGUGGAAAACCCGGAUGUCAUCGUCACCGUAGACGUUCUGUUCCAUCAGAGCAAAAUGCUGAUCUGCAACCGCAAUGACAUGGCCUGGUUUCAGGUCAAGGAUGUUCUUGGAGUUUCCCCUGGACCGGUCAGCAGCUGGCGACCUUUCUGGAUGAAAUACCGAAAGAUGAUUAUUAUUAUAAUAAUUGUUUUUGCAGUUGUUGUAGUAAUCAUUGUGUCCGUGGAAGCGUCGGUGCCGCAUACACAGAAGCCAUCAGCCAAUAUUACAUCGGAGAGAAAAUGGACAAAAUCUCAGGGAUGCGUGUGGCGCAGAGUGUUGUGCAGUUGUGCAGUUGUUGCGUGAAGUUGUGCGGUUGGUGCAUGAAGUUGUGCUGUUGGUGCAUGAAGUUGUGCGGUUGGUGCAUGAAGUUGUGGUCCAAGACAUGACGUGGUGUCCCUGGGCAAGACCCUUCACCCCAGAUCGGCUACAGCAUUGAGUAAUGUGGGGGAAAGACAAACAGCUGAUGUGUGUGACUGUAGCGGUAAUUGUGACCUUGGUAGUGGUCUAUACACAGAUUUAAGAAGACCUCUGGGGUUUAUUAUUCCAAUAAAUGCAUUUUGAAGGGACAAAAGUGCAUGUGCAAUGCAUUUGCAAUCAACGGGAAAUGAAGGAUGCUAUUAAACUAUUAACAUAGAUGCUUUUGAGCUGAAGCUUUGGAUCACUGAUGUUUUAUCUAAGGUGCAUUAGAGAAGAAUAGAUGGAAGAAUAACAAACCUGCUUUAAGUAAAUGACACUUACAAAUUAACACGAAAUUCAAGUUAAACUUAUAAGACAAACCUGCCAUUCGUUGAAAAGUCUUUAAAGUCGACUCUACAGUAUUAUUGAUAAAGUUCCUCCUGUCAAAAUUGGCACAGAAGAAAUCUUUUAAACAGAGAUUGUAAUGUAGGUGAAUGGGUACAAACGUGUUAAAUGAGAAUGUUGAUUCAGUGUGCUUUUGAGAUAUACAGAUUUUUUACCUAAUGUUUAAAUGUGUGCCGUAGAGAAGUGUGUGAUCAAAUGUUAUCAAGUUUAACAUAUCCUAAAAUAUCUGUAAAACCCUGCUGCUGCUGCUUUGUGCUCAUUAAAACAUCAACAUAAUAAAUACAAAUCAAUCAA
This is an RNA transcript of Trematomus bernacchii (emerald rockcod), 2462 nucleotides long. RefSeq lists it as uncharacterized. NCBI's taxonomy places the organism in Eukaryota, Metazoa, Chordata, Actinopteri, Perciformes, Nototheniidae. The record is from RefSeq and is a predicted model, not a curated record. The transcript is spliced from 21 exons.